Molecule: long non-coding RNA, 430 nt
Organism: Chiroxiphia lanceolata (lance-tailed manakin)
Lineage: Eukaryota; Metazoa; Chordata; Aves; Passeriformes; Pipridae
Exons: 3
Source: RefSeq, a predicted model, not a curated record
UGAUGGCCACGUGCAGCUUCUGAAACGUUCUUGGGAUUGUCCUGUAUUCCUAUUCACUGUAAAACCACUGCCACUGCCAGAGGGAGAGAGCAUGAAUUGUUGCUGCCGUGGAAGAAGCCAAGGCAUUUGGUGAGAGUCCUGGGGAGUCCGUUGCCUGCCUGACACAUGCUUUUGUGACUUCCUUGAACUGUUCUUUCAGAUCGUUUGCCAAAUCAUUGGACAAGUGAACUGCCACAAAGUACUAUGUGAAUGCUUUAAUACAGAAUGGAUAUUUUCAGCUCUAAUGGAGGAACACUGGAAAACUACUACAUGGAAGCAUGUUAGUUUCGGCGUGAUAUCAUACUAACAUGCUUACUGGGCUUUUGAUUUAGAGUUAGAUCAAAUACAAUCAGCACAAAAUGUAGACAAGGCAAGCUUGGGUUUAUCUGUA